AGCUGAAUCAAUUCCGCUCAGACUCGUGUGAGUUUCGACUGCGAGUGUGCGGAUUUGCUUCUGCCAA
RNAcentral lists this microRNA precursor (67 nucleotides) under Petromyzon marinus (sea lamprey). RNAcentral's name for it is "Pma-Mir-147_pre stem-loop". The record is from RNAcentral. Lineage: Eukaryota; Metazoa; Chordata; Hyperoartia; Petromyzontiformes; Petromyzontidae.